GUAUGGGGCAAGCGUUAUCCGGAUUCAUUGGGCGUAAAGAGCGCGUAGGCGGUUUGUUAAGCGAGAUGUGAAAACCGGGGGCUCAACCCGCGGCCUGCAUCUCGAACUGGCAGACUUGAGUCUGGUAGAGGAAAGUGAAUUCCUAGUGUAGCGGUGAAAUGCGCAGAUAUUAGGAGGAACACCAGUGGCGAAGGCGGCUUUCUGGGCCACGACUGACGCUGAGGCGCGAAAGCUAGGGGAGCAAACAGGAUUAGAUACCCUGGUAGUCCUAGCAGUAAACGAUGGGCACUAGGUGUGGGGGGUCAUCAACUCCCUCCGUGCCGCAGCUAACGCAUUAAGUGCCCCGCCUGGGGAGUACGACCGCAAGGUUA
RNAcentral lists this ribosomal RNA (371 nucleotides) under uncultured bacterium. RNAcentral describes it as "bacterial SSU rRNA". It matches the Rfam family "Bacterial small subunit ribosomal RNA", at positions 527 to 896 of the family's 1533-position model. The record is from RNAcentral.